UAAUACGUAGGUGGCAAGCGUUGUCCGGAUUUACUGGGCGUAAAGCGUAUGCAGGCGGAUCUUUAAGUAGGAAGUGAAAGGUUGGAGCUCAACUCCAACACUGCUCCCUAUACUGGAGGUCUUGAGUGGCGGAGAGGGAGAUGGAACGACACGUGUAGCGGUGAAAUGCGUUGAUAUGUGUCGGAACACCAAUGGCGAAAGCAAUCUCCUGGACGCCAACUGACGCUGAGAUACGAAAGCCAAGGUAGCAAACAGGAUUAGAUACCCUGGUAGUCUUGGCCAUAAACGAUGUUCACUAGGUGUCGGGGUUUCACCUCGGUGCCGCAGCUAACGCAUUAAGUGAACCGCCUGGGAACUACGAUCGCAAGAUUA
This 372-nucleotide ribosomal RNA is filed under the name uncultured bacterium. RNAcentral describes it as "bacterial SSU rRNA". It matches the Rfam family "Bacterial small subunit ribosomal RNA", at positions 521 to 896 of the family's 1533-position model. The record is from RNAcentral.